Alligator sinensis (Chinese alligator) is the source of this 73-nucleotide non-coding RNA. The record is from the annotation of a RefSeq genome assembly. Lineage: Eukaryota; Metazoa; Chordata; Crocodylia; Alligatoridae.
UACCAUGUGGCCUAGUGGAUAAGGUGUCUGACUUCAGAUCAGAAGAUUAAGGGUUUGAGUCCCUUCAUGGUUG